UGUUGUGUAAUUGCCCAGUAGUUCUAGGGGGUUUCCUCUGUCUGGUGUGAUCUACUGGUAAAGAGCAGAGAGACCCGAAUGGUGACGUGCAUGGCCUGGUAGAAGACUGGAGAGCCCCGAAUGGAGACAUGACACAAGGGUCACGCUUGACCGGAUACAGCCUCUUCUUGACCUGGAUGAUCACGAUACAAAACCUAUCGACAACUAGACAAGAUAAAUCCCUGUAGGAUACCAAACCAUAAGGUAAAUAUCUACACAUAUUUACACCUGUUACAUACAUAACCCUAGGGGUAUACGUAGAGCCCAGCUAGACAGGCCAAGUAACACUUUACU
RNAcentral lists this long non-coding RNA (333 nucleotides) under Mytilus galloprovincialis (Mediterranean mussel). Lineage: Eukaryota; Metazoa; Mollusca; Bivalvia; Mytilida; Mytilidae. The record is from RNAcentral.